RNAcentral lists this long non-coding RNA (1019 nucleotides) under Meriones unguiculatus (Mongolian gerbil). RNAcentral describes it as "lncRNA (ENSMUGG00000001349.1)". The record is from RNAcentral. Lineage: Eukaryota; Metazoa; Chordata; Mammalia; Rodentia; Muridae.
CCUAAAUGCUGGGAUUGCAAAUGUGCACGGCCGUUCCGCCUUUCUUUGGUGAUAAGAUCUUGCUGGUGAACUGAUACCACUUCCUGGCUUCUUAUUAUGAGCAGAGCCCUGUCUACCCGAGGCCACAUUUGACGACUACUCUGGGGCGUCUUCGAGCUGAGGUAUCGUCCUUUCUUUAAGAGAUGUCUUCCUGGACUCUGGGUGAAGACUCAGUCUCUGCCCGUGUGUGGGACAUGACCUACAUACACUUCAGGAAGAACAGAUUUUGAGGACUCACCAGAUUUCUGUUCCUUGGCUGGCUGACUUCUUUACCUGAGAUAUCUGCUGUGUUCCACCGAGACCACAGACACCAGUGAAGACCAAGUUACCAUGACAAAUGUCAACUGCCUCCUUCCAGGCUGGCCUGGGCAGACGCGGAGGCUGACAGAGAAGCAGACCCAGCGUUUAGGUCUGGGGAAGAAAACGCAAACAAGGACCAGGAAAUCCAGCUGUGGCCAGGGAAGCCACAGGCAAGUUGCUCACCCGCUGCUGCCUCAAGAAAAGCCCCAGAGGCUGUGACAAACCUGAGUCACACGUGGGACAGUGUGGCUGUGGGGUGUUUCCUGUCCUAGACUUACCGUGUCAGCAAGGCACCGUACAGCUGAGUUCAGUCCAGUGAGCACUUAGGCCCUGCACACGGAAAAAGCUGCGGAGAGAACCAGAGCAAACGUGAUGACUGAGAUGAGAGUGCCCUGAACUUGGGCAUCACAGAGUCUGGUGAGCCGACUCUCAGGCUUCUCGUGUGAGAGGAUGGCAGGCCGGCAGGAGACCAGCACGGUGUGGGGCUCCUGGUCCAGUGAAGGAGGGGAGAAGAGAGGCUAAGACACCAGCAAACGUCUCGUACCAGAGUCAUUUUCUCCUCCACAAACAUCGGAGGUUCGAUUGUUUGGGCCAAUCAGUUAACUGGACCAAAGAAGAAGCUGAGGGAGAAGCCGUGUGAAGGCUGGAGGAAGUGGUCAGGCCUGAAUACCAUGCAGGAG